GACGAACGCUGGCGGCGUGCUUAACACAUGCAAGUCGAACGGUGAAGGGACCAGCUUGCUGGUUCUGGAUGAGUGGCGAACGGGUGAGUAACACGUGAGUAACCUGCCCCCUUCUUCUGGAUAACCGCAUGAAAGUGUGGCUAAUACGGGAUAUUCUGGGUCUGUCGCAUGGCGGGCCCGGGAAAGAUAUUGCUUCGGUGGGGGAUGGGCUCGCGGCCUAUCAGCUUGUUGGUGGGGUGAUGGCCUACCAAGGCGGUGACGGGUAGCCGGCCUGAGAGGGUGGACGGUCACACUGGGACUGAGACACAGCCCAGACUCCUACGGGACGCAGCAGUGGGGAAUAUUGCACAAUGGGCGCAAGCCUGAUGCAGCGACGCCGCGUGAGGGAUGGAGGCCUUCGGGUUGUAAACCUCUUUCGCCAGUGAAGCAGGCCUGCUCCUUGUGGGUGGGUUGACGGUAGCUGGAGAAGAAGCGCCGGCUAACUACGUG
This 489-nucleotide ribosomal RNA is filed under the name uncultured bacterium. Its description in RNAcentral is "partial 16S ribosomal RNA". It matches the Rfam family "Bacterial small subunit ribosomal RNA", at positions 28 to 507 of the family's 1533-position model. The record is from RNAcentral.